UUAUUUGUGGCCAUAUUUUCAUGUUGCCAGUCUAUCCCAGGGGUCCCGCAACUUAUCCGUAGAAGCUACAGAAGAUGAGCUCGCUCCAGUUUUAUUCAACUCCAAGCAGGUACCCAGCCCUUCCAGGGAAAUUAAGACGGAUUCUUCAGCCAGGCAUGAGAAGCAGAUGUACCUGGUGAAGUGUUUCCUAGCUCUGUAGCUUCCCUUCGGUCUAUUUUAAACAAUAAAGAACAAAUAAGCCCAAGAAAGUGACUUGGC
Molecule: long non-coding RNA, 258 nt
Filed under: Felis catus (domestic cat)
Lineage: Eukaryota; Metazoa; Chordata; Mammalia; Carnivora; Felidae
Description: lncRNA (ENSFCAG00000049182.1)
Source: RNAcentral